This 438-nucleotide ribosomal RNA is filed under the name uncultured bacterium. Its description in RNAcentral is "bacterial SSU rRNA". It matches the Rfam family "Bacterial small subunit ribosomal RNA", at positions 28 to 507 of the family's 1533-position model. The record is from RNAcentral.
GAUGAACGCUGGCGGCGUGCCUAAUACAUGCAAGUCGAGCGGUAACACUUCGGGUGACGAGCGGCGGACGGCUGAGUAGCGCGUAGGAACGUACCCCAAAGUGAGGGAUAACUGCUCGAAAGAGUAGCUAAUACCGCAUGUGCUCUACGGAGUAAAGCUUUAUGCGCUUUGGGAACGGCCUGCGUAUGAUUGGCUUGUUGGUGAGGUAGUGGCUCACCAAGGCGACGAUCAUUAGCUGGUCUGAGAGGAUGAUCAGCCAGACUGGGACUGAGACACGGCCCAGACUCCUACGGGAGGCAGCAGUAGGGAAUUUUCCACAAUGGGCGAAAGCCUGAUGGAGCAACGCCGCGUGCAGGAUGAAUGCCUUUGGGUUGUAAACUGCUUUUAUCUGUGACGAUUUUGACGGUAGCAGAUGAAUAAGGAUCGGCUAACUCCGUG